This 440-nucleotide ribosomal RNA is filed under the name uncultured bacterium. RNAcentral describes it as "partial 16S ribosomal RNA". It matches the Rfam family "Bacterial small subunit ribosomal RNA", at positions 338 to 795 of the family's 1533-position model. The record is from RNAcentral.
CCUACGGGUGGCAGCAGUGGGGAAUAUUGCACAAUGGGGGAAACCCUGAUGCAGCGACGCCGCGUGAGUGAAGAAGUAUUUCGUUAUGUAAAGCUCUAUCAGCAGGGAAGAAAAUGACGGUACCUGAGUAAGAAGCCCCGGCUAACUACGUGCCAGCAGCCGCGGUAAUACGUAGGGGGCAAGCGUUAUCCGGAUUUACUGGGUGUAAAGGGAGCGUAGACGGUGGGACAAGUCUGGAGUGAAAUGCCGGGGCUUAACUGCGGAACUGCUUUGGAAACUGGGGAGCUAGAGUGCGGGAGGGGUAAGUGGAAUUCCUAGUGUAGCGGUGAAAUGCGUAGAUAUUAGGAGGAACACCAGUGGCGAAGGCGGCUUACUGGACUGUAACUGACGUUGAGGCUCGAAAGCGUGGGGAGCAAACAGGAUUAGAUACCCGGGUAGUC